RNAcentral lists this long non-coding RNA (1115 nucleotides) under Anser cygnoides (Swan goose). RNAcentral describes it as "lncRNA (ENSACDG00005017293.1)". Lineage: Eukaryota; Metazoa; Chordata; Aves; Anseriformes; Anatidae. The record is from RNAcentral.
CCAGGGCCAUUUCAAGGGCACCUGCCAUAACAGCUAUUUUUCUAAACACCCCAUUUCUCUCUGUUUUUACAGACACGCGCGAGGAAGGCUGAGAGGCCGGGGGAGUGGCCUGGGCCCCCUCUCCACCCCAGGCGUGGCCUCACCGCCCAUCGGGGCAGAGCGCAGCGCCGCCAUUUUGUGGAGAGAGCGCAGGACCGGCAGCUUCAUCCUGUCUGCUUCAACUGCCGCCACUAUGCUGUCAGCCCGUCUGGCUGCCACCCUCGCCCGCUCUUUGCCGCGAUUUCCAGAAACACCCUGGGUGCAGCAUUUGUUGUCACAAGAAACAUCCAUGCUUCCAAAACAUGUUUCCAGAAAACCGGUGAGUUGGAAGAAAGGCCUUUAUUAUAAGAGUACUGUUUAAGACCUUGAUCAGUCAGGCAAGGUAAUUUGAACUUGGAGUGUGAGGUGCGUGUCAGCAGACAAAACAUUUGAGGAUGCUUAUGUACUGCUAGUGUUGGGAAGUAAAAUAUCAGUUACACGGUCACAUCUGUCAGACUUAACUUUAAUAAUUGUUCAAAGUAUGUCCAAACCAAUGGAGUGGUCACAUGUCAGCUGUCUUACUCAGCUUAUUUGCCUCCCAAAUAUCCAAUUCAGUCUUUCAGUCCUGCAGAACUAUCUGAAAAAUGACUCAAAUUCCAAUUUCCUGUCUGCUUGUUGGCAACAUUAGGGAAAGGAUGGCUUUCUCUUGCCUGCUUGAGUUUGACCUUGUGUCCUUAAUUAUAACUCCUGUGCUGCUAGCAUCUUAAGAAGGCAGCAGCACUGCAUAGCUGUGUUUUGGUAGCAGUUCAUUGAAGGGAUGCAAGGCACGGACUGCUGAUGGUUCUUGAACAGGAACUUUAUUGCCCUUUUUCAUUGCUACAUAUAUUUUCCCCAUAGCCCCACAUGCUGUCCACGUGCCCAAAUCUAUCAUAAAAUUGGUUAGAGACCCUCAGACACGCGCCUCAAGCCAGCCAGCAAUUGGCCGCUGCCCAAAGCUCAUCUUUAACACUGUAGCCAAUUUACUUUAUCUCGACCUUGCUCAAGUUUUUGUUUCUACCUCUUGUUUCCUCAUUAUCUCUAAUUCAGGGACAUGUGAA